This 444-nucleotide ribosomal RNA is filed under the name Elphidium sp. S4. Its description in RNAcentral is "SSU rRNA". It matches the Rfam family "Eukaryotic small subunit ribosomal RNA", at positions 1195 to 1470 of the family's 1831-position model. Lineage: Eukaryota; Foraminifera; Rotaliida; Elphidiidae. The record is from RNAcentral.
UUGACUCACGCGGGAAUCUUACCGGGUCCGGACACACUGAGGAUUGACAGGUUUCGAGAGUUUUUUUGGAGUUCGCUCCAGAAUGCUCUCUUAAAUAUGCUAGUCCUUUCAUGAUUAUGUGAUAGGUGGUGCAUGGCCGUUCUUAGUUCGUGGAGUGAUCUGUCUGCUUAAUUGCGUUUCACUAAAGGCGUCAUUAUAUUUUUGUGCUUGUGUUUGACCCCUCUUUCUUCGGAUUGAGCGCGUGUCUUUCACACACAAUUACUUUGACGUCUGAAAGCAACGAACGUGACCGUAACCUCUUGUUGCCUUCUCUUCUCUUCGGAGAAUGCUAGUUUUUUUCUUCGGAUAAAUUCUAGUAUAUGGAGGCUUUUACUCAAACUAGAGGGACCGCUGUUACUUUCUUUAAACCAGAGGAAGGUUGCGGCAAUAACAGGUCUGUGAUGC